This 72-nucleotide transfer RNA is filed under the name Dictyocaulus viviparus (bovine lungworm). It matches the Rfam family "tRNA". Rfam says of the family: Transfer RNA (tRNA) molecules are approximately 80 nucleotides in length. Their secondary structure includes four short double-helical elements and three loops (D, anti-codon, and T loops). Lineage: Eukaryota; Metazoa; Nematoda; Chromadorea; Rhabditida; Metastrongylidae. The record is from Rfam by way of RNAcentral.
GCCUCGGUGGUGUAAUAGAAAUCACGGCAGAUCGGAUAUCUGUAAGUGCAGGUACGAGUCCCGCCUGAGGUU